RNAcentral lists this ribosomal RNA (161 nucleotides) under Schmidingerella taraikaensis. RNAcentral describes it as "partial Bacterial small subunit ribosomal RNA". It matches the Rfam family "Bacterial small subunit ribosomal RNA", at positions 1 to 161 of the family's 1533-position model. Lineage: Eukaryota; Ciliophora; Spirotrichea; Tintinnida; Rhabdonellidae. The record is from RNAcentral.
UUGAGAGUUUGAUCCUGGCUCAGAACGAACGCUGGCGGCAGGCUUAACACAUGCAAGUCGAGCGGAAACGAUGGGAGCUUGCUCCCAGGCGUCGAGCGGCGGACGGGUGAGUAACGCGUAGGAAUCUACCCAGUAGUGGGGGAUAGCCCGGGGAAACUCGG